This 506-nucleotide ribosomal RNA is filed under the name uncultured bacterium. Its description in RNAcentral is "partial 16S ribosomal RNA". It matches the Rfam family "Bacterial small subunit ribosomal RNA", at positions 30 to 523 of the family's 1533-position model. The record is from RNAcentral.
AUUGAACGCUGGCGGCAGGCCUAACACAUGCAAGUCGAACGGUAACAGGAAGCAGCUUGCUGCUUUGCUGACGAGUGGCGGACGGGUGAGUAAUGUCUGGGAAACUGCCUGAUGGAGGGGGAUAACUACUGGAAACGGUAGCUAAUACCGCAUAACGUCGCAAGACCAAAGAGGGGGACCUUCGGGCCUCUUGCCAUUGGAUGUGCCCAGAUGGGAUUAGCUAGUAGGUGGGGUAACGGCUCACCUAGGCGACGAUCCCUAGCUGGUCUGAGAGGAUGACCAGCCACACUGGAACUGAGACACGGUCCAGACUCCUACGGGAGGCAGCAGUGGGGAAUAUUGCACAAUGGGCGCAAGCCUGAUGCAGCCAUGCCGCGUGUAUGAAGAAGGCCUUCGGGUUGUAAAGUACUUUCAGCGGGGAGGAAGGUGUUGAGGUUAAUAACCACAGCAAUUGACGUUACCCGCAGAAGAAGCACCGGCUAACUCCGUGCCAGCAGCCGCCGUAA